GACGAACGCUGGCGGCGUGCUUAACACAUGCAAGUCGAACGGAAAGGCCCUGCUUUUGUGGGGUGCUCGAGUGGCGAACGGGUGAGUAACACGUGAGUAACCUGCCCUUGACUUUGGGAUAACUUCAGGAAACUGGGGCUAAUACCGGAUAGGAGCUCCUGCUGCAUGGUGGGGGUUGGAAAGUUUCGGCGGUUGGGGAUGGACUCGCGGCUUAUCAGCUUGUUGGUGGGGUAGUGGCUUACCAAGGCUUUGACGUGUAGCCGGCCUGAGAGGGUGACCGGCCACAUUGGGACUGAGAUACGGACCAGACUCCUACGGGAGGCAGCAGUGGGGAAUAUUACACAAUGGGCGGAAGCCUAAUGCAGCAACGCCGCGUGCGUGAUGACGGCCUUCGGGUUGUAAACCGCUUUCGCCUGUGACGAAGCGUGAGUGACGGUAAUGGGUAAAGAAGCACCGGCUAACUACGUG
This 468-nucleotide ribosomal RNA is filed under the name uncultured bacterium. RNAcentral's name for it is "partial 16S ribosomal RNA". It matches the Rfam family "Bacterial small subunit ribosomal RNA", at positions 28 to 507 of the family's 1533-position model. The record is from RNAcentral.